Molecule: non-coding RNA, 507 nt
Organism: Ictidomys tridecemlineatus (thirteen-lined ground squirrel)
Lineage: Eukaryota; Metazoa; Chordata; Mammalia; Rodentia; Sciuridae
Source: RefSeq, a predicted model, not a curated record
UAUGUUUUUCAGAAAAGAAGAAGAACUAGAUGAGUUUGGAAAGCCACACAGUCCAAGGGUCUGAGUACAACUGUCCCUGGACAAUUUAAAGCAGGGACCAGCAGUAGGAUGCUACAUGGGCUCCAGAUGGACACUGCACUGGAUGGUCCAGAAAUGAGAACUCAACUUCUAAAACACCUACGUCCUCAGAUCAAGAAAUAUUUGCUGCUUCAAGAACCAAUCUUAAAAUCACCCUAAAAACUUUAAAGGGAAUAAAUCUACCCUCAAAGAAUGAAGACUUGCAGAUAAACUGAAAAAACAUGCCAAUAAUUUUAAGGAAGCACACCUCCUGAUGAUGUGUUCUAGGAAUACUAAGGGCUAUAAUUGAUGACUGUAGCCUCCUGCUAGGAAAUCUGGAAGAGAACACAUACCCCUCCUACAGCAUAUACUCAAGAACAUUCCCUUAAAGAGUAAAGUAAUACCUGACAUACUGCUUACUUCUGAGCCUCCCCUCUGUAUAAAUUUACA